UACGUAGGGUGCAAGCGUUGUCCGGAAUUAUUGGGCGUAAAGAGCUCGUAGGUGGUUUGUUACGUCUGCUGUGAAAACCUAGGGCUUAACCCUGGGCUUGCAGUGGAUACGGGCAGACUAGAGGUAGGUAGGGGAGAAUGGAAUUCCUGGUGUAGCGGUGAAAUGCGCAGAUAUCAGGAGGAACACCGGUGGCGAAGGCGGUUCUCUGGGCCGAUACUGACGCUGAGGAGCGAAAGCGUGGGGGAGCGAACAGG
RNAcentral lists this ribosomal RNA (254 nucleotides) under uncultured bacterium. Its description in RNAcentral is "partial 16S ribosomal RNA". It matches the Rfam family "Bacterial small subunit ribosomal RNA", at positions 524 to 776 of the family's 1533-position model. The record is from RNAcentral.